Molecule: ribosomal RNA, 462 nt
Filed under: Flavobacteriales bacterium
Lineage: Bacteria; Pseudomonadati; Bacteroidota; Flavobacteriia; Flavobacteriales
Description: bacterial SSU rRNA
Rfam family: Bacterial small subunit ribosomal RNA
Source: RNAcentral
UACAACGGAGAGUUUGAUCCUGGCUCAGGAUGAACGCUAGCGGUAGGCCUAACACAUGCAAGUCGAACGGUAACAUAAGAGCUUGCUCUUGAUGACGAGUGGCGGACGGGUGAGUAACACGUAUACAAUCUACCUUUAACUGAGGAAUAGCCCAGAGAAAUUUGGAUUAAUACCUCAUAGUAUUAUUUUAAGGCAUCUUAUUAUAAUUAAAACUCCGGUGGUUAAAGAUGAGUAUGCGUUCUAUUAGUUUGUUGGUGAGGUAACGGCUCACCAAGACUGCGAUAGAUAGGGGGCCUGAGAGGGUGAUCCCCCACACUGGUACUGAGACACGGACCAGACUCCUACGGGAGGCAGCAGUGAGGAAUAUUGCGCAAUGGAGGAAACUCUGACGCAGCAACGCCGCGUGUGUGAAGAAGGUCUUCGGAUUGUAAAGCACUGUUAAGAUAGAAAGAAAAAGCCUUA